CUUUAAGACUUCAGUGUUAGCAGCAUUGGGUUCAGUCUGUUCAGUCUUCUCAGAUGCACAGAUUAUGAUGAUGAUGAAGAUGAGGAUGAUGAUGAUAUCACUGAUUCCACUGCUGAUCACUCUGGGGUUCCUGACUCAGGAGUCAUCUGCAAAUAAGUUCCUGAAUCAAGCUGAUGAAUCAAAGUCUGUUGGUCUGGGAAAGACUGUGUCUCUCAGUGCUACAGGAGGUUCAGGCAUUGGUGAUGACAUGAGCUGGUACCUGCUGAAACCUGGACAGGCUCCUAAACUCCUCAUCUAUAAAGUAAAAACCCUUCAGUCUGGAACACCAUCUAGAUUCAGUGGCAGUAGAUCAGGUACUGAGUACACUCUUACAAUCACUGGUUUCCAAGCUGAAGAUGCAGGAGAUUACUAUGGUAUGGGUGUAUAUGAAGGCCCAGUGAUCACACAGUGAUUUAGAGUCGUACAAAAACCUCCCUCAGUCAGACUGCACAGAGACUGUACUGCUGCAGCUGGGAUCUACUGCAGGUGUUGAGGAACAACAGACUAUGAUAUGAAACACUGGUUCACUGAACACACAACUCAGGUCCUGGUGAUAAAAAAAACACUACUUUACCACCAAUGGUCAGGACAUCUGGAUACAACUCACAAAUGAAUCUCAAAUUCACCAAAUAGUUUAGUCACAAUCAAAACCAACAGCUAUAUCCCAUAACCCCCUCCCAUGUCUGUAAUGGUAAGAUGAUGUGGUUCUGCUCCUGUCCCCAGAUAUGCACUGUCCCCAGGGGAUCUACCCACUACCCACCCUCCCUCACCCUCCCUCACCCCUACCAACC
Salmo salar (Atlantic salmon) is the source of this 830-nucleotide non-coding RNA. Lineage: Eukaryota; Metazoa; Chordata; Actinopteri; Salmoniformes; Salmonidae. The record is from the annotation of a RefSeq genome assembly.